Molecule: ribosomal RNA, 254 nt
Filed under: uncultured bacterium
Lineage: Bacteria
Description: partial 16S ribosomal RNA
Rfam family: Bacterial small subunit ribosomal RNA
Source: RNAcentral
UACGGGGGGAGCAAGCGUUGUUCGGAUUUACUGGGCGUAAAGGGCGCGUAGGCGGCCACCGCAAGUCAAUUGUGAAAUCUCCGGGCUUAACUCGGAAAGGUCAACUGAUACUGCGGGGCUAGAGUGCGGAAGGGGCAACUGGAAUUCUCGGUGUAGCGGUGAAAUGCGUAGAUAUCGAGAGGAACACCUGCGGCGAAGGCGGGUUGCUGGGCCGACACUGACGCUGAUGCGCGAAAGCUAGGGGAGCAAACGGG